This 1258-nucleotide long non-coding RNA is filed under the name Canis lupus familiaris (dog). Its description in RNAcentral is "lncRNA (ENSCAFG00030016011.1, ENSCAFG00040014295.1)". The record is from RNAcentral. Lineage: Eukaryota; Metazoa; Chordata; Mammalia; Carnivora; Canidae.
UAAUGAGCCAAGAGCACAUCUUUUAGAGUUAAGAGCGUGGACCACUUCCACACUCGAAGUGUGAGGGGACAUACUAUGAGCUAGAGAGAGGCAAAUAAAUAGAAGUUUACAUGCCACACAGUCAUUUAGGCUUGUAACACACACAUAGAGCAGCAAACUCUCAGGCUCCUCUGCAGAAACGCUGCAGCCUGUCUGCCGGCAUGAAGCAGAAUUUCCUAAUCCCAUUAGCUGGGCCCUGGUACCUAUCGGUGUGUUAUUAACUAACCUUAAUUUAAGAAGCUGUAAAUUUUGAGAAGAUUAUACACCUAACACUCCUGAGACUGACUCGAGUGCAUUACACUGGCCUCUGACAAGAAUGUGUCCAUUCUGAGCAUUUGUAUUUGGCUCUAUUCUGAUAAAAACUCAAAAUGUAGCUCCUUAUAAAAUGAACCUGAUAAGUGAGACUCUAGAUCAGCGUGGUCCCAUAGGAAUAGAAUGCAGGUCGCCGAACUACGUGUGUAAUAUUACCUUUUCCAACGACUAUUAAACUAAAUAAAAAUAAACAGAUGAAGUCAGUUUUAAAGACAUAUUUAUCUAACCUAUGAUAUUAUCGUAUCAAUAGGUAACCAGUAUACAUUUAUUAAUGGAGUAUUUUACAUUUUUCCAUAGUGCCGUCUGGUAUUUUGCAACAAUAGCACAUCUCAGCUCAAACCAGCCCCCCCUCAAGUGCUCAGUAGCUCACGUGGCCAGUGCAGGGGUAGACGGGCCAGGUAAUGAGAAGCCUCUUAGGAAAGUCUUCCCAAGAUUCUGCUUGGCCAAGAGAAGCUCACGCGGAGGUGGAGGCCAAGGUGUGUGCGGCAGCCGUCUGGACAUCUGUGCGAUCGACGCCGACGUUGGAAGAGUCAUAGAGCGUGACUGACGACAUCCGGAAGGGGGGAAAAAUGUAGUUAUUGAACCCAAUCAACUGUUUGUGUCUCUGAAAUUAUCAACAACAUCCAGUCGAGGAAGGUUCUGGUCGGUCCCACAGACGUAUGGCUGUCCAAGGAGCCACAUAAAGGUACGAUUCUCUGCCAUACUUUUGGCUUUACAAGCAGACAAAUGUUUUAUGUAUCCACUUUGAAAUAUCUCCCUUUGAAAACCAUAAAGAUAGGCCUGUAAAUACAGGGUGUUUUUAAUGUUCUUUAAUUUUAAUAAACAAGCUCAAUAUAAAGUCAGAAUUUAUAGUCCAUUGCUAAAGAUAGACUCAAAUAGUCUUCUGUUAUUCAACUGCAUCAUCCCC